This is a non-coding RNA of Lentinula lateritia, 113 nucleotides long. The record is from the annotation of a GenBank genome assembly. Lineage: Eukaryota; Fungi; Basidiomycota; Agaricomycetes; Agaricales; Omphalotaceae.
GUCACUUUGCCGGAGUGGUUAACGGGAUCGCCUGCUAAUAUCGGUAAUCAGAUGACUCCGAUCUUCAAAGCGGUUGGGCUUUGCCCGCGUGUGUUCGAAUCGCACAGGUGACG